GUGGGGAAUAUUGGACAAUGGGCGAAAGCCUGAUCCAGCCAUGCCGCGUGUGUGAAGAAGGCCUUUUGGUUGUAAAGCACUUUAAGCGAGGAGGAGGCUCUUAAGGUUAAUACCCUUGAUGAGUGGACGUUACUCGCAGAAUAAGCACCGGCUAACUCUGUGCCAGCAGCCGCGGUAAUACAGAGGGUGCGAGCGUUAAUCGGAUUUACUGGGCGUAAAGUGCGCGUAGGUGGCCAAUUAAGUCAAAUGUGAAAUCCCCGAGCUUAACUACGGAAUUGCAUUGGAUACUGGUUGGCUAGAGUAUGGGAGAGGAUGGUAGAAUUCCAGGUGUAGCGGUGAAAUGCGUAGAGAUCUGGAGGAAUACCGAUGGCGAAGGCAGCCAUCUGGCCUAAUACUGACACUGAGGUGCGAAAGCAUGGGGAGCAAACAGGAUUAGAUACCCUGGUAGUCC
Molecule: ribosomal RNA, 451 nt
Filed under: uncultured bacterium
Lineage: Bacteria
Description: partial 16S ribosomal RNA
Rfam family: Bacterial small subunit ribosomal RNA
Source: RNAcentral